RNAcentral lists this microRNA precursor (66 nucleotides) under Marmota monax (woodchuck). The record is from RNAcentral. Lineage: Eukaryota; Metazoa; Chordata; Mammalia; Rodentia; Sciuridae.
UCAGAAGCACAGCCUCUACCCUAAAGCAAUGAGAAGCUUCUGGAAGGUUGAGAUAAUGGAAUGAAU